RNAcentral lists this ribosomal RNA (506 nucleotides) under uncultured bacterium. RNAcentral describes it as "partial 16S ribosomal RNA". It matches the Rfam family "Bacterial small subunit ribosomal RNA", at positions 28 to 523 of the family's 1533-position model. The record is from RNAcentral.
GAUGAACGCUGGCGGCGUGCUUAACACAUGCAAGUCGAGGGGUAACAAGAGGAAAGCUUGCUUUUCUUGUUGACGACCGGCGCACGGGUGAGUAACGCGUAUCCAACCUGCCUAUAACUGGGGAAUAACCUUGCGAAAGUAAGACUAAUACCCUAUGAUUUCCUUUGAUGGCAUCAGAUUAGGAAUAAAGAUUUAUCGGUUAUAGAUGGGGAUGCGUCUGAUUAGCUUGUUGGCGGGGUAACGGCCCACCAAGGCAACGAUCAGUAGGGGUUCUGAGAGGAAGGUCCCCCACAUUGGAACUGAGACACGGUCCAAACUCCUACGGGAGGCAGCAGUGAGGAAUAUUGGUCAAUGGGCGGAAGCCUGAACCAGCCAAGUAGCGUGCAGGAUGACGGCCCUAUGGGUUGUAAACUGCUUUUAUACAGGAAUAAAGUUAGCCACGUGUGGUUAUUUGUAGGUACUGUAUGAAUAAGGACCGGCUAAUUCCGUGCCAGCCGCCGCCGUAA